GACGAACGCUGGCGGCGUGCUUAACACAUGCAAGUCGAACGGCAAGGCCCUGCUUUUGUGGGGUGCUCGAGUGGCGAACGGGUGAGUAACACGUGAGUAACCUGCCCUUGACUUUGGGAUAACUUCAGGAAACUGGGGCUAAUACCGGAUAGGAGCUCCUGCUGCAUGGUGGGGGUUGGAAAGUUUCGGCGGUUGGGGAUGGACUCGCGGCUGAUCAGCUUGUUGGUGGGGGAGUGGCUUACCCAGGCUUUGACGGGUAGCCGGCCUGGGAGGGUGACCGGCCACAUUGGGACUGCGAUACGGCCCAGACUCCUACGGGAGGCAGCAGUGGGGAAUAUUGCACAAUGGGCGGAAGCGUGAUGCAGCAACGCCGCGUGCGGGAUGACGGCCUUCGGGUUGUAAACCGCUUUCGCCUGUGACGAAGCGUGAGUGACGGUAAUGGGUAAAGAAGCACCGGCUAACUACGUG
Molecule: ribosomal RNA, 468 nt
Filed under: uncultured bacterium
Lineage: Bacteria
Description: partial 16S ribosomal RNA
Rfam family: Bacterial small subunit ribosomal RNA
Source: RNAcentral